GGUCGAUUCGGCUAUGGGUAGGCCUUCCGGUUCUCGACCGGACAAAGCGGUUCGAGUCCCGCAUCGACUA
Molecule: transfer RNA, 70 nt
Filed under: Allocatelliglobosispora scoriae
Lineage: Bacteria; Bacillati; Actinomycetota; Actinomycetes; Micromonosporales; Micromonosporaceae
Description: Micromonosporaceae bacterium Sco-B14 tRNA
Rfam family: tRNA
About the family: Transfer RNA (tRNA) molecules are approximately 80 nucleotides in length. Their secondary structure includes four short double-helical elements and three loops (D, anti-codon, and T loops). Further hydrogen bonds mediate the characteristic L-shaped molecular structure. tRNAs have two regions of fundamental functional importance: the anti-codon, which is responsible for specific mRNA codon recognition, and the 3' end, to which the tRNAs corresponding amino acid is attached (by aminoacyl-tRNA synthetases). tRNAs cope with the degeneracy of the genetic code in two manners: having more than one tRNA (with a specific anti-codon) for a particular amino acid; and 'wobble' base-pairing, i.e. permitting non-standard base-pairing at the 3rd anti-codon position.
Source: Rfam by way of RNAcentral